This 159-nucleotide ribosomal RNA is filed under the name uncultured bacterium. RNAcentral describes it as "partial 16S ribosomal RNA". It matches the Rfam family "Bacterial small subunit ribosomal RNA", at positions 356 to 507 of the family's 1533-position model. The record is from RNAcentral.
GGAGAAUAUUGGACAAUGGGCGAAAGCCUGAUCCAGCCAUGCCGCGUGUGUGAAGAAGGUCUUCGGAUUGUAAAGCACUUUAAGUUGGGAGGAAGGGUAGUAACCUAAUACGUUGCUACUUUGACGUUACCGACAGAAUAAGCACCGGCUAGCUUCGUG